GACGAACGCUGGCGGCGUGCCUAAUACAUGCAAGUAGAACGCUGAAGGAGGAGCUUGCUUCUCUGGAUGAGUUGCGAACGGGUGAGUAACGCGUAUGUAACCUGCCUCGUAGCGGGGGAUAACUAUUGGAAACGAUAGCUAAUACCGCAUAAGAGUUGAUGUUGCAUGACAUUUGCUUAAAAGGUGCAAUUGCAUCACUACCAGAUGGACCUGCGUUGUCUUAGGUAGUUGGUGAGGGAACGGCUCAACAAAGCGACGAAACAUAGUCGACCUCAGAGGGGGAGCGGGCAACACGGGACCGAGACCAGGCCCAGAACCCUAAGGGAGGGAGCAGGAGGGAAAUUUCGGGAAAGGACGGAAGGCUGAACGGGCCACGCCGCGGGAGGGAAGAAGGGUUUCGGAUCGUAAAGCUCCGUUGUAAGGGAAGAAAGAGUGUGAGAGUUGAAAGUUCACAUUGUGACGGUAUCUUAUCAGAAAGGGACGGCUAACUACGUG
RNAcentral lists this ribosomal RNA (495 nucleotides) under uncultured bacterium. RNAcentral's name for it is "partial 16S ribosomal RNA". It matches the Rfam family "Bacterial small subunit ribosomal RNA", at positions 28 to 507 of the family's 1533-position model. The record is from RNAcentral.